RNAcentral lists this ribosomal RNA (254 nucleotides) under uncultured bacterium. RNAcentral's name for it is "partial 16S ribosomal RNA". It matches the Rfam family "Bacterial small subunit ribosomal RNA", at positions 524 to 777 of the family's 1533-position model. The record is from RNAcentral.
UACGAAGGGUGCAAGCGUUAAUCGGAAUUACUGGGCGUAAAGCGUGCGUAGGCGGUUUGUUAAGUCCGUUGUGAAAGCCCUGGGCUCAACCUGGGAAUUGCAGUGGAUACUGGCAAGCUAGAGUCAGGUAGAGGGUGGUGGAAUUCCCGGUGUAGCGGUGAAAUGCGUAGAGAUCGGGAGGAACAUCUGUGGCGAAGGCGGCCACCUGGACCAUGACUGACGCUGAGGCACGAAAGCGUGGGGAGCAAACAGGG